This is a long non-coding RNA of Cyprinus carpio carpio, 682 nucleotides long. The record is from Ensembl. Lineage: Eukaryota; Metazoa; Chordata; Actinopteri; Cypriniformes; Cyprinidae.
GUGUACCUGAUGUCAUUACCUGUUUCUGGAUUGAGUUGGUACCAGAGUAAGAUUAGGUACUGGACCGGCCCCAGAAGGUCCCAUCUGCCUCCUCCAGCGACACCGUGACCUCUGGCAAUAAAACUGAUGUAAGCGUAAACGAGAAGAAAGCAGGAAAAAGAAAGAGUCUGUCAGCACCCACACAGUGUUUAUUCCUCAUCAUCCAACACCACAGCAGCUCUGGCAUCUGUUACGCCCAGAGUAUGUGUCUGCGAGGCGGCAUGCUGCCAGAUCUCACAGCUGCCAGAGAGAGAGAGAGAGACAGAGAGAGAGAGAGACAAGGGGGAAAUAAACUGCCGCACAACUGGAAUGCAGUCAACAGUCGGUUCCUCAGGCGUCUGUAACGUCACAAUCAGGCAUCUGCAUCGCCGCUGCGAGAAACCUUCACCCUGACCAGCCGUUCACUCUUUUCAGUGUAAACACACUGCACGUCUCGAGUCACUAUAUCAAUAUCCAAAACCCAAGAGUCCUCAAGAGUUCAAAACUCUCAAAAAAGGGUCUGGAAGUGAAGUGUAGUGGAAAAUCUUCCCUCCUUGAAUCUCCAGUGCUGUGUGUGCGGUGUGAUGUUAUGACAGCUCUUACAGAUGUACAUGCUCCACUUUUCCAUACAACAACACUUCAUAGUGACCACGUCCUGUCAGGC